GUCUACAGCCCUACCACCCUGAACACACCCAAUCUCAUCUGAUCUCAGAAACAAAGCAGGGUCGGGCUUGGUUAGUACUUGGGUAGGAGAAUAUUCCUGUCCACUCCCUUCUCUGUCUGGGGAGAGGACCAGCAGUCA
Ribosomal RNA from Erinaceus europaeus (western European hedgehog), 138 nucleotides. The record is from Ensembl. NCBI's taxonomy places the organism in Eukaryota, Metazoa, Chordata, Mammalia, Eulipotyphla, Erinaceidae.